RNAcentral lists this ribosomal RNA (501 nucleotides) under uncultured bacterium. RNAcentral describes it as "partial 16S ribosomal RNA". It matches the Rfam family "Bacterial small subunit ribosomal RNA", at positions 30 to 523 of the family's 1533-position model. The record is from RNAcentral.
AUUGAACGCUGGCGGCAGGCUUAACACAUGCAAGUCGAGCGGGGGAAGGUAGCUUGCUACCGGACCUAGCGGCGGACGGGUGAGUAAUGCUUAGGAAUCUGCCUAUUAGUGGGGGACAACAUCUCGAAAGGGAUGCUAAUACCGCAUACGUCCUACGGGAGAAAGCAGGGGAUCUUCGGACCUUGCGCUAAUAGAUGAGCCUAAGUCAGAUUAGCUAGUUGGUGGGGUAAAGGCCUACCAAGGCGACGAUCUGUAGCGGGUCUGAGAGGAUGAUCCGCCACACUGGGACUGAGACACGGCCCAGACUCCUACGGGAGGCAGCAGUGGGGAAUAUUGGACAACGGGGGGAACCCUGAUCCAGCCAUGCCGCGUGUGUGAAGAAGGCCUUAUGGUUGUAAAGCACUUUAAGCGAGGAGGAGGCUACUUUAGUUAAUACCUAGAGAUAGUGGACGUUACUCGCAGAAUAAGCACCGGCUAACUCUGUGCCAGCAGCCGCCGCCG